AUUGAACGCUGGCGGCAUGCUUUACACAUGCAAGUCGGACGGCAGCGGGGUAGUGCUUGCACUACUGCCGGCGAGUGGCGAACGGGUGAGUAAUAUAUUGGAACGUACCGAGUAAUGGGGGAUAACCAAUCGAAAGAUUGGCUAAUACCGCAUACGCUCUGAGGAGGAAAGCAGGGGACCUUCGGGCCUUGCGUUAUUCGAGCGGCCAAUAUCUGAUUAGCUAGUUGGUGGGGUAAGGGCCUACCAAGGCGACGAUCAGUAGCGGGUCUGAGAGGAUGAUCCGCCACACUGGGACUGAGACACGGCCCAGACUCCUACGGGGGGCAGCAGUGGGGAAUUUUGGACAAUGGGCGCAAGCCUGAUCCAGCCAUGCUGCGUGUCUGAAGAAGGCCUUCGGGUUGUAAAGGACUUUUGUUAGGGAAGAAAAAGGAGCGGUUAAUACCCGUUUCUGCUGACGGUACCUAAAGAAUAAGCACCGGCUAACUACGUG
RNAcentral lists this ribosomal RNA (490 nucleotides) under uncultured bacterium. Its description in RNAcentral is "partial 16S ribosomal RNA". It matches the Rfam family "Bacterial small subunit ribosomal RNA", at positions 30 to 507 of the family's 1533-position model. The record is from RNAcentral.